AUACGUAGGGGGCUAGCGUUAUCCGGAAUUACUGGGCGUAAAGGGUGCGUAGGUGGUUUCUUAAGUCAGAGGUGAAAGGCUACGGCUCAACCGUAGUAAGCCUUUGAAACUGGGAAACUUGAGUGCAGGAGAGGAGAGUGGAAUUCCUAGUGUAGCGGUGAAAUGCGUAGAUAUUAGGAGGAACACCAGUUGCGAAGGCGGCUCUCUGGACUGUAACUGACGCUGAGGCUCGAAAGCAUGGGUAGC
This 246-nucleotide ribosomal RNA is filed under the name uncultured bacterium. Its description in RNAcentral is "partial 16S ribosomal RNA". It matches the Rfam family "Bacterial small subunit ribosomal RNA", at positions 523 to 769 of the family's 1533-position model. The record is from RNAcentral.